GUACCUAAACUUUGCUGCAAAAGGUGCAUGAACAUCUUUGUGUCUUGCUUUAGCCAUCUCUCCACUC
RNAcentral lists this small RNA (67 nucleotides) under Arabidopsis thaliana (thale cress). Its description in RNAcentral is "ATSL113350". Lineage: Eukaryota; Viridiplantae; Streptophyta; Magnoliopsida; Brassicales; Brassicaceae. The record is from RNAcentral.